RNAcentral lists this ribosomal RNA (407 nucleotides) under uncultured bacterium. Its description in RNAcentral is "partial 16S ribosomal RNA". It matches the Rfam family "Bacterial small subunit ribosomal RNA", at positions 28 to 526 of the family's 1533-position model. The record is from RNAcentral.
GACGAACGCUGGCGGCGUGCCUAAUACAUGCAAGUCGAACGCCGUUGCGAACGGGUGAGUCACGCGUAUGUGACUGCCUGGUAGAGGGGGCUAACUAUUGGAAACGAUAGCUAAUACCGCAUACUACAACCUGGACCUGCGUUGUAUUAGCUAGUUGGUGGGGUAACAGCUCACCAAGGCAACGGUACAUAGCCGACCUGUGAGGGUGAUAGGGCACAAUGGGACUGAGAAACGGCCCAGACUCCGACGGGAGGCAGCAGUAGGGAAUCUUCGGCAAUGGACGGAAGUCUGACCGAGCAACGCCGCGUGAAUGAAGAAGGUUUUCGGAUCGUAAAGCUCUGUUGUAAGAGAAGCGGUAUCUGACCAGAAAGGGACGGCUAACUACGUGCCAGCAGCCGCGGUAAUUC